This 495-nucleotide ribosomal RNA is filed under the name uncultured bacterium. RNAcentral's name for it is "partial 16S ribosomal RNA". It matches the Rfam family "Bacterial small subunit ribosomal RNA", at positions 28 to 507 of the family's 1533-position model. The record is from RNAcentral.
GACGAACGCUGGCGGCGUGCCUAAUACAUGCAAGUAGAACGCUGAAGGAGGAGCUUGCUUCUCUGGAUGAGUUGCGAACGGGUGAGUAACGCGUAGGUAACCUGCCUGGUAGCGGGGGAUAACUAUUGGAAACGAUAGCUAAUACCGCAUAAGAGUAGAUGUUGCAUGACAUUUGCUUAAAAGGUGCAAUUGCAUCACUACCAGAUGGACCUGCGUUGUAUUAGCUAGUUGGUGGGGUAACGGCUCACCAAGGCGACGAUACAUAGCCGACCUGCGAGGGUGAUCGGCCGCACUGAGAGUGUGACACGGCACAGAGUCCUUCAGGAAGCAGCAGUAGGGAUACGUCGGCAAUGGGCGGAAGUCAGACCGAGAUACGCCGCGUGAGUAAGGAGGAUUGUCGGAUCGUAGAGCACUGUUGUCGGGGAAGAACGAGUGUGCGAGUGGAAAGUAGACACUGUGACGGUAUCUUACCAGAAAGGGACGGCUAACUACGUG